Magallana angulata is the source of this 2011-nucleotide long non-coding RNA. RefSeq lists it as uncharacterized. The transcript is spliced from 4 exons. Lineage: Eukaryota; Metazoa; Mollusca; Bivalvia; Ostreida; Ostreidae. The record is from RefSeq and is a predicted model, not a curated record.
UACAAAUUAAAUUAUCUCCCUUUGUGGAACUCUCGUGUAAAGAAGAUAAAGAAGAAUGAUUGGAGAAAGCCAGAUGUCAACAAAAUGGAUGGUUUGAAAUGUAGUUUUGGUGAAAAUUGUAAAGAGAAAGCAGAUAAUAUACUUUAGGAUUGUAAGAAAAACACUUCAGCACACUUGAGAUUUUUUAAAUGUACCUCUGAGUCAGAUUUUGUACAAAUACCAGAAUCAUCGUGCUGGUGUGCAUGGGUUGAGGCUGUCAAUUUUCAGCGGGCGUACAUGUGCUAAACACAGGCAGGAAUAUGGAAUUCAGUGGAAAAGGAAAAGGAGAACAUGCUGUCAUUCACUACAUAAACAAUCUCAAUCUGGCAUAAUCGCGAGUGGAAUUACAUUCAUUCAAAGCCGAGAGAUAUGGAUGAAGCUGAGCACACAUUUUCCAACUGGUUCUGGUGUUCGCAGAAAACGCAUUGAGAGAAAACUGUGUCAAGAUUAAUACAGAUCUGAAGGAGGAGUUGAAAGAAAUAUGCUGUUUACUAGAGAGAACUACAGAUUCUGAAGCAAUGGACGCUGAUAUAUCUUUUUCUAACCCAAGAGAUUUUGAUCUUCUGUCAUCUCAGAAAACUGUGGGGUCUGAUCAGUCCAAAGAUGAAAGAACAGAGCAUGAAAUCUUAAAUGAAGCUGUGAAAUUAUUGUCAGAUGGAAAGUACUCCCCUGUAAAAUCACAGCCAUCUAUGAAUCUUGAUCAACUUCAGUAUUCAAAGAGAAUUGUGAUACAUGCAUGAAUUCAUAUUAUUAUAUUUUCAUGUUAAAUACUACUCGAAAACCAUUGUCAACCUCUGCUUCGCGUCGGUUGACAAUGGUGUCCUUGGGGUGUCAAUUUCAACUGUUACCCUCCCAAACAGGCACUAUUUAUAUAAUGUUAGUCCUCUAAUAGCACUACAUGUGUAUGAGUUGAUGACGUAAGUCUUCUAAUAGCGCUACAGGUAUAAAUUGAUUAUUUUAGGCCAUUAAUAGACAAACAUGUAUCAAUUGAGGAUGUAAGCUAGAUAAUAGCACUUCAUUAAUGAUUUGAUGAUAAGAGUUGUCUAACAUCACUUGUAUGAAUUGAUGAUGUUAUUUGGCCAAAAGUGCUACAUGUAUGAAUGUUGGCUAGUAGCUCUACAUGUAUGAAUUAAUGAUGUUAGUUAUUUAAUAGUGCUACAUGUAUGAAUUGAUAAUUUUAUUGGUCUAAUAGUGCUACAAGAAGGAAUUGAUGAUGUAAGUUUGCUAAAAACAUUACAUAAUUAAUAUAUGAAUUGAUGUUGUCUGUUCUAUAAUAGCAUUUCAUGUACGAAUGAUGAUGUUAGUCCUCUAUUAGCACUACACAUAUAUGAAUUGAUAAUGUUUUUGUACUAAUAGCGCUACAGGUAUGAAUUGAUUGUUAUUUGGCCAAUAGCGCUACGUGUAUCAAUUGAGGAUGUAAACUUUAUGAAUGAUUUGAUGAUGAAAGUUGACUUAUAGCACUAGUGUGAAUUGAUGGUGUUACCUGGCUAGCUAAUUGUGCUAUACGUUUGAAUUGAUGAUGUUCUUAGACUAGUAGCGCCACAUGUAUGAAUUGAUGAGGUUACAUGUAUUUGGCUAACAGCGCUACAUGAAUUAAUGAUGUUAUUUGGCCAAUAGUGAAACAUGUACAUACAUGAAUUAAUGAUCAUUGUUGUCUUAAAUUGCUACAUGUUUAAAUUGAUGAUGUUAUUUGGCAAAUAGUGAUUCAUGUAUGAAUUGAUGUUGUUUGGUUAUCAGUGCUAUAUGUAUGAAUCAAUAAUGUUAUUUAGCUUUUAGUGCAACAUGUAUGAAUGAUGAUAAAGGUUGUUCAAUAGCACUACAUGUAUGAAUUUAUGAUUUUAUUUGACUAAAAGAUAAGUGCUCCAUGUGUGAAUUGUUGGUGUUUGGUUAUUAGUGCUACAUGUAUAAAUUGAUGGUAAUACAUGUAUUUGUCUAACAGUGUUAAAUGUAUGAAUUGAAAAUGGAUGUCUUA